GACGAACGCUGGCGGCGUGCUUAACACAUGCAAGUCGAACGGUAAGGCCCUUCUUUUGUUGGGUGCUCGAGUGGCGAACGGAUGAGUAACGCGUGAGUAACCUGCCCUGGACUUUUGGAUAACUUCAGGAAACUGGGGCUAAUACCGGAUAGGAGCUCCUGCUGCUUGGUGGGGGUUGGAAAGUGUCGGCGGUUGGGGAUGGGCUGGCGGCUUAUCAGCUUGUUGGUGGGGUAGUGGCUUACCAAGGCUUUGACGGGUGGCCGGCCUGAGAGGGUGACAGGCCACAUUGGGACUGAGAUACGGCGCAGAAUCCUACGGGAGGCAGCAGUGGGGAAUAUUGCAAAAUGGGCGGGAGGCUGAUGCAGCAACGCCGCGUGCGGGAUGACGGCCUUCGGGUUGUAAACCGCUUUCGCCUGUGACGAAGCGUGAGUGACGGUAAUGGGUAAAGAAGCACCGGCUAACUACGUG
This 468-nucleotide ribosomal RNA is filed under the name uncultured bacterium. Its description in RNAcentral is "partial 16S ribosomal RNA". It matches the Rfam family "Bacterial small subunit ribosomal RNA", at positions 28 to 507 of the family's 1533-position model. The record is from RNAcentral.